UUGCUAUGCGUAAUCGGCAGGAUGAGAACCUGUAGCAGGUUCGGGCCGAGCGCAGCGAGACAACGUUGCCGCAGGCAACGGCCCGAAGGGCGAGGCGUAAGCCGAGUUAUCCUGCACGACCCACCA
RNAcentral lists this small RNA (126 nucleotides) under Pantoea sp. RNAcentral describes it as "RtT sRNA". It matches the Rfam family "RtT RNA". Rfam says of the family: This family represents a bacterial cis-regulatory element known as RtT RNA. The record is from RNAcentral. Lineage: Bacteria; Pseudomonadati; Pseudomonadota; Gammaproteobacteria; Enterobacterales; Erwiniaceae.